Molecule: small nuclear RNA, 115 nt
Organism: Manis pentadactyla (Chinese pangolin)
Lineage: Eukaryota; Metazoa; Chordata; Mammalia; Pholidota; Manidae
Product: U5 spliceosomal RNA
Exons: 1
Source: RefSeq, a predicted model, not a curated record
AUAUUCUGGUUUCUUUUCAGAUCGCAUAAAUCUUUUGCCUUUUACUAAAGAUUCCACAGAGAGGAACAACUGUAAGUCUGAAACCAACUUUUUGAGGCCUUGUUGUAACAAGUCU